This is a long non-coding RNA of Saccostrea cuccullata (small rock oyster), 351 nucleotides long. RefSeq lists it as uncharacterized. NCBI's taxonomy places the organism in Eukaryota, Metazoa, Mollusca, Bivalvia, Ostreida, Ostreidae. The record is from RefSeq and is a predicted model, not a curated record. The transcript is spliced from 4 exons.
AUCGGACUUUGUCGUCGAGACUCGAUCGGAAGAACCCAGCUGCCUAAAUUAUAAUGCCAGUGGAACUCAAAACAGAAAAGAUACUUGUAUGCAAGACAUGAAGAAAAGAGCAGAAUACAGCCUCUAUAUACCAUUCCUUGGUGCCUCCUUAAGGGAAUUGAUGUUUUUUUCGGGAUAACCAUGCAGGAAUAAAGGUUAACUCAGUAUAAAGUCUUGCUGACAUGAACAUGAUAAUCACAAGAAAGUGAAUAUAUUUCAUCACCUUAAGCAAUCUUCAAAAUACCAGAUUGGAAAAAGAAAGAAGAUUUGUAGCAUUGUAUUGAAUAUGCCUGAUUAAAAGUGUUAAUGGAU